AGCAUCAUCACCCAAACAGAGCAACCCCAACAUAUAUAACCACGCACAUACCCAAGCACAACAGACAAAUUCCCCCACAUUAAUAUGCAGACACUGACCUUUCAAAAGAAAAAAAUAUGCAGACACUGCAUUCACGCAAUACAAUCCAUAAGCCACAUACCUCCACCUUCUGCACUAUCCUGGACAUGGCUUAGAAUAUUUAGAAAUCCUGCAUCCUAGACCCAACUCACAGAUAAAUCAUUUCAAUCAACUCCCAACUUUGCAAGAUAAUUAGUACAUUGGUUA
Molecule: long non-coding RNA, 285 nt
Filed under: Theobroma cacao (cacao)
Lineage: Eukaryota; Viridiplantae; Streptophyta; Magnoliopsida; Malvales; Malvaceae
Description: long non-coding RNA (TCAC_LNC004760)
Source: RNAcentral